GCUUUAGCCUCGUUUGGCUUUCGGGAAGUGGCCUCCUCUUGUCUCCCUUUUCCGGCGAUGGUCGGGAAGAAGGGGCGAGCUGAGGAGCUGUGGGAGUGAGCUCCGGAGUCACAGACUUGCAAGGGGCCUUUGGAGAUCUUCCAGGCCGACCUCUGCUCCUACGUCACAGAUAUGGAAAUUGAGGCAGUGAGAGGCUGACCCACUAAGCCCAGAGCGAGCACGUGGGCGGGGGGAAGGAGCGGACUGCUUUUCUUUCCUUUUUCGCCGGAUCCUGCGGCGCUAGUGUGUUUGAAGACAACACUACGGAACCCAAGAGUAACCGGAAGUAGCAGAGAUUGGUGGAGGAGGGAGAGGAAGGACCAAAGAUCAAUCUCUUUGAAAAAUAACCACAAAAUCACAGAAUUUCAUAAUUGGAAGAGACCAGAGCUGCCAUGUAUUUCAACUAUCCACUACAACAGGACAAAAGGUAUUCAUCCAGCAUUUAUUUGAAGACUUCCACUAAAAAAGAAAUCACCAUCUGAGCAAAAUCAGCAGACAACUUUGGUGAUGAUUCAACACAAGGAGGAACUGAACCAUCUUCAUCUAGAUAUCUACCACCAAAAGGAUGGCAAUUUAUCCUUAGGAUGAGAACAGAUCUGUUACAGUGUCCAUCCAGCUUAUCCCCACACAAAGAUGAAGAGAAGAUAGAGGAAAUAAACCUGUGGCUUCUCUGUAGAAUGUUUGCAUCAGAUAUGUAAAUCAUAAGAUCAUACAUACAAAGAGAUAUGGUAUCAUUCAUGACUACCAAAAAUCCUCUGAAAAUCAAGUAUAAUGCUUUAAAAACCCAGUUGAACUACUUCCAGAUUAUCAUGGUAGGGAUGGUGUACCUAGGAAUGCCUAUUGAAUCUUACCAAGAAAAAUAAAUUUGCUUGAGCAAACAGGAAUAGCCUGGAGAUUGAUCUUCUGGGAUGGUAAUAUAUCCUACUCAGAGAAUAGACAUCUAGUUCUAAGUAUUGGAAUUUUAUCCUAUUGCUGGUAGAUUACCUCUAGCAAUUAAGACUGGAAGAACUAAAAAAAAGUUGUGAUUUAGAGGAAGCUCUGCCAUCCAAUGAGUAUUCAAAUUCUGUUUUUCUCAUUGGUUGUUUUACUUUUAGACUACAGUUCCUCUAAUGAAAGCAUUAAGGAAAUUGAAUUCACGUAUGGAUCUGAUCUUGGUUAAGUUGCCAAAUCAUCUAAAAGUCUUUUUAUGGUUGCUGUUGUCAAUGAUGGAAUGUCAUGCUCAAGAGGAAGUCCUCUUCCUUAAAUAUAACUUUGACUGUAAGUAGUUCUUUUUGUAAUGUCACAUAAAUCCCUUUUGUUUUUAGAAGUAAGCAUAGCACUGGAGAAUAAGAUAAAGAUCAUUUCAGCUUUUAAAAGGAUGGCCUCCAUGGUAAUGAUAGACAAUCUAUUUCCAUGAAGAAUGAUUUAUAUAAGUCUGGGGAAAAAAAGAUGGGCCUGAAAUAAUCUGGUUCCUAAGAGUGUGGCUUGUACUUUUUCCACUUUUUGUUAUUGCUACAAUUAGAAAGGAGAGACAACUAAUCUGUGGACCAGGAAGAAAAUUACAGUUAUUAACCAUCAUAGACAUAAAACAUUUCUUUCUCCGUGAGGAUGCCUUUAGGCAGCCUAUAAAAAUAGAUCACACCCAGGCUUCUAGGGCCUUAUUUCUCUAUUUAUUUUUACCUUAGAGAACUCUUGUGUUUUCAGCAAGGGGAGCAAAGGAACCAGAAUUAUUUGAAUGAUAAUGAUAGAUUCAAUAUAAUUAGCAAUAAAUAUCAUUAGUAAUAAGUUAAUCAACAUAAAAUUACUUAAAACUUACUCAAUUUUAUUUUUAUUUUAUUUUUUCCUUUAUUAAAGCUU
Molecule: long non-coding RNA, 1875 nt
Organism: Sarcophilus harrisii (Tasmanian devil)
Lineage: Eukaryota; Metazoa; Chordata; Mammalia; Dasyuromorphia; Dasyuridae
Exons: 3
Source: RefSeq, a predicted model, not a curated record